This 39-nucleotide transfer RNA is filed under the name Bronchocela cristatella (Green crested lizard). RNAcentral's name for it is "partial tRNA-Cys". Lineage: Eukaryota; Metazoa; Chordata; Lepidosauria; Squamata; Agamidae. The record is from RNAcentral.
AGGCCUAGGAGAAACUCGAAUCCAAAUUUGCAAUUUGGC